RNAcentral lists this ribosomal RNA (529 nucleotides) under uncultured bacterium. RNAcentral's name for it is "bacterial SSU rRNA". It matches the Rfam family "Bacterial small subunit ribosomal RNA", at positions 8 to 526 of the family's 1533-position model. The record is from RNAcentral.
AGAGUUUGAUCAUGGCUCGGAUUGAACGCUGGCGGCAGGCCUAACACAUGCAAGUCGGGCGGUAACAGGGAGAAGCUUGCUUCUCCGCUGACGAGCGGCGGACGGGUGAGUAAUGUCUGGGAAACUGCCUGAUGGAGGGGGAUAACUACUGGAAACGGUAGCUAAUACCGCAUAACGUCGCAAGACCAAAGAGGGGGACCUUCGGGCCUCUUGCCAUCAGAUGUGCCCAGAUGGGAUUAGCUAGUAGGUGGGGUAAUGGCUCACCUAGGCGACGAUCCCUAGCUGGUCUGAGAGGAUGACCAGCCACACUGGAACUGAGACACGGUCCAGACUCCUACGGGAGGCAGCAGUGGGGAAUAUUGCACAAUGGGCGCAAGCCUGAUGCAGCCAUGCCGCGUGUAUGAAGAAGGCCUUCGGGUUGUAAAGUGCUUUCAGUCGGGAGGAAGGUGUCAAGGUUAAUAACCUUGGCAAUUGACGUUACCGACAGAAGAAGCACCGGCUAACUCCGUGCCAGCCGCCGCGGUAAUUC